RNAcentral lists this ribosomal RNA (461 nucleotides) under uncultured bacterium. RNAcentral's name for it is "partial 16S ribosomal RNA". It matches the Rfam family "Bacterial small subunit ribosomal RNA", at positions 28 to 507 of the family's 1533-position model. The record is from RNAcentral.
GACGAACGCUGGCGGCGUGCUUAACACAUGCAAGUCGAACGGAAAGGCCCUUCGGGGUACUCGAGUGGCGAACGGGUGGGUAACACGUUGGUGAUCUGCCCUGCACUUUGUGAUAGGCUGGGGAACUCGGUGUAAUACCGACGAGGACCCCGCCUCUCACGGUGUGUUGUGGAAAGGUUUUGCGGUGUGGGAUGGGCCCGCGGCCUACGAGCGUGCUGGUGGGGUAAUGGCCUACCAAGGCGACGACGGGGAGCCGGCCUGAGAGGGUGAACCGCCACACUGGGCCUGAGAUACGGCCCAGACUCCUACGGGAGGCAGCAGUGGGGAAUAUUGCACAAUGGGAGCAAGCCUGAUGCAGAGACGCCGCGUGAGGGAUGACGGCCUUCGGGUUGUAAACAUCUUCCACCAGGGACGAAGCGGAAGUGACGGUACCUGGAGAAGAAGCACCGGCCAACUACGUG